GCAGCCAGCAUGGCCAGGGAGAAGGGAGCUGCCUCAGUGAACCUGGCUCUACACAGGUGCCCCGUCGUCCCGUCUGGGGACCAGCGCUGCCUGGGUGAAGCCGAGACCAAGGAGAUGGACGCAGAGGAGUAGGUGCUUCUCGGGUGGCUCUGCUGUGGUGCUCCUCUCUGGUGAUUGCCCUGGUGUCGGUGGUGGCGCUAACUUUAUUUCUUGGCUGUGGCUGCACAGAGAGAAAGGCUAUUUGUCAAAGUUUGGAUUGUUCUAACGAAAACUAAGUUUGGGAGCUCAUCAGAGACAGGCUAGCUUAAAGCAAAGCCUGACUGGGGCCUGCUGGCAGUCCCUUCUCGGUGAGAAAGCUGUGCCCUGGUGCCUGCAGCGGGCAGCAAAGGGACGACUCUUGCAGGCAACUGCCCGAGUCGCUCCCCUCCCCGCUCUCUGUUCGCCUGGAAAAACAAGAGUCUGGGGGAAGUGACACAGCACCGUGGCGAGGAACGGGCUGCUGCCCACGAGCCUGCGUGGGCAACCUCUGCUCCUGUCCAAGGAAAUUCCUCAUGCUCGCCCUCGACCUCUCCGACUCGUUGGCCACUGCCCAGGGAAGAUGUCCUCCUCCACUGGAACAGUAACGUGGCGGUACAACGCGACUGUGGUGUGCCGGACCUGCAGGAAACGAGUUUGUGAAAAAUGACAGAACCUCCCUCGCCCCUUUGUACCCAUUAACAGCUGCGUGCAGACUUGCAGGGGCUGAAGAUGUAGGGAGCACAUAAUCCUGUUGGAAGUGCGAUUAUGGGAGUCAUCC
This 796-nucleotide long non-coding RNA is filed under the name Struthio camelus australis. RNAcentral's name for it is "lncRNA (ENSSCUG00000012263.1)". Lineage: Eukaryota; Metazoa; Chordata; Aves; Struthioniformes; Struthionidae. The record is from RNAcentral.